This 1892-nucleotide long non-coding RNA is filed under the name Ixodes scapularis (black-legged tick). Its description in RNAcentral is "uncharacterized LOC120841674". Lineage: Eukaryota; Metazoa; Arthropoda; Arachnida; Ixodida; Ixodidae. The record is from RNAcentral.
CUUGCACCGGAGCAGGAGGGGAGGGGGGGCUCAUUGUUUCUUGGGAACCCCACAAAAGUACUUAAGAUAAAAAGAAUAAAAGCAAAGAGGACUUUCCCAGACAACCACACUCUUUAAUUUAGAAACAACGAAUGUUCAUUUGCAGGCAUGAGAAAUUCACACAUUCACGAGAAUGGGGGAGGGUUGAAGGAGAGGACGUUACAAAGGGGAGUGCCGAUAAGGAUUUAGUCACCGUAGACUACCCGUGUUUAUGAUUUUUCUUUUUCUAGUUCUGACCUGAUAAAUUCCAUUUCACGUCUUGUCAGGGCUAAGAAAUGUCGUCUUCUCCUGCAGAUUCAGGCUGGCAACUGUGUGCAGUUUGACCAACUGGAAAGAGACCAAGCUCCCGCCCUGCAACCCUGGCGUGGCUCGACUGCGCCCCAGCGAAUAUGUCCUCUGAAGACCUGCCUCGCUUCAGCCUCAUCCGAGAAUACUUCUCGGAUGAGGAAUGGAGCGCCAUGUCAUUCUACGUGAAGUCAAGGAUGACCAAUCUCAAGGAAAACUACGAUCUUCUCCUAGGAAUGGAUUCAAGCUGGCAAGCGUGUGCAGUUUGACCAACUGGAAAGAGACCAAGCCGCCCUGCGAGAAAUAUUACCACAGCGUCACUUCGGCAUCCCGCCCUGCAACUGCAACUUGACUGCGUCUGAAAGAAAAUCUGUUCUGAAGAUCUGCCUUGCUUCAUGAACCGUUGGGAGACCCUUCAGACGGCUGAUGGGUAAAGGCUGGCUUCCCAAGGACUGACGACGAGGAAGAGUGGUGCAUGGAUGGCUUAAAGAAAACACUCGUGCAAGGGUGCCUGCAACCCACAGAAAAACGGACAAGUAGAAAGAGUAGUCAAGAUAUUGGUUCCUGUAGUUGUUGCAUCCAUGCAAAAUGGAUCUCACGGCGAUUUGGAUGCGAGGAAAGGAGAUUCAUAUUAGAAAUAGCGCAAAUAAAAGGAGGUCCGGCGUGAUUUCAACACUUUCUUGUCUUCCUUGGCCAAGUGCGUGGGAGUCAUCUUCCGUUUAGUUUUUAUGUCAGUUGUUACAAAUGUUUCUGUUGCCUUGCGCAUAGUCGGUGGCAAGUAUUGUUGUUUUUUUUUAUUUGAAGCUUCCCUCGACUGGUAAACUGGUCUCCCACUCCGUUGUUUGUCAGAGAUGCGAUUCAGUGAAUUUCCUUAAUGCUUAUUUUGAUUUAGAUAUUUCUUUUACCAUGUUCAUACUGUGGUUGCACAUGGCCUGCACAUAACGUCAUCCCAGCAUGCCCGUGGUCAUUCCUAUGUGUUCAGGAGAAAAACAAACGAGGAGGUGCAUUGCUUAUACAUGCUCGGCAGUUAGCUGACCACCCCCAUAGCAGCUGGUGCGAUAUCGAUGCAAGCCAUUUAUACAAGUUUUCCUCGCAUUUUCUAGCAUAGAGCAGGUGCCCAAUAUGUACUCGUGUACGCAGUGUCUUCUCGAAAACAAUCUUUUUUCUGCAUAAAAAUGCAGAACUAUGGUCACUGACAGCAUGAGAAUGGCAGGGAGAUCUUCCAGUUGCCCUGCCUUGAAUGCUAGCUUUAUAUCUUCUAGAGCUCUUUGGCAUCUCGUGGGCCACGAACGUGCACACACAGCCAAAGUACGACAGGAGGAAACGAUUGCACGCUGGACGCCAGGCAUCCGGAAGAUACUCUGCCGUUCUCACCCUGCCAGUGUCGAUACUCCGUUCGCCUUUAGGCCGAGACUGCAGCCAGAGCUAGAACCGCGAGCUAGCUGCGCUUCCUACUUUGAAAUGUGAGUUUCAAGCGCAUGCGCGUGUACUGUGGAAGAAUGUUUUAAAGCCGAGGUCCCGUUCUGUCGCGUUUCUAGCCUCAGCUGCAGUCCCAGCUUAAAGGGGCC